RNAcentral lists this ribosomal RNA (184 nucleotides) under uncultured bacterium. Its description in RNAcentral is "partial 16S ribosomal RNA". It matches the Rfam family "Bacterial small subunit ribosomal RNA", at positions 1318 to 1500 of the family's 1533-position model. The record is from RNAcentral.
GCAUGAAGCUGGAAUCGCUAGUAAUCGCGGAUCAGAAUGCCGCGGUGAAUACGUUCCCGGGUCUUGUACACACCGCCCGUCACACCAUGGGAGUCGGGAAUGCCCGAAGUCAGUGACCCCAACCGAAAGGGGGGAGCUGCCGAAGGCAGGCCUGGUAACUGGGGUGAAGUCGUAACAAGGUAGC